RNAcentral lists this ribosomal RNA (467 nucleotides) under uncultured bacterium. RNAcentral describes it as "partial 16S ribosomal RNA". It matches the Rfam family "Bacterial small subunit ribosomal RNA", at positions 28 to 507 of the family's 1533-position model. The record is from RNAcentral.
GAUGAACGCUGACAGAAUGCUUAACACAUGCAAGUCAACUUGAAUUUGGGUUUUUAACUUAGGUUUGGGUGGCGGACGGGUGAGUAACGCGUAAAGAACUUGCCCCACAGCUAGGGACAACAUUUGGAAACGAAUGCUAAUACCUAAUAUUAUGAUAAUAGGGCAUCCUAUAAUUAUGAAAGCUAUAAGCGCUGUGAGAGAGCUUUGCGUCCCAUUAGCUAGUUGGAGAGGUAACGGCUCACCAAGGCGAUGAUGGGUAGCCGGCCUGAGAGGGUGAUCGGCCACAAGGGGACUGAGACACGGCCCUUACUCCUACGGGAGGCAGCAGUGGGGAAUAUUGGACAAUGGACCGAGAGUCUGAUCCAGCAAUUCUGUGUGCACGAUGAAGUUUUUCGGAAUGUAAAGUGCUUUCAGUUGGGAAGAAACAAAUGACGGUACCAACAGAAGAAGUGACGGCUAAAUACGUG